Molecule: transfer RNA, 108 nt
Filed under: Herpetosiphon sp.
Lineage: Bacteria; Bacillati; Chloroflexota; Chloroflexia; Herpetosiphonales; Herpetosiphonaceae
Also listed under: 1 other name
Description: tRNA-Val
Rfam family: tRNA
About the family: Transfer RNA (tRNA) molecules are approximately 80 nucleotides in length. Their secondary structure includes four short double-helical elements and three loops (D, anti-codon, and T loops).
Source: RNAcentral
GGGCCUAUAGCUCAGUUGGUAGAGCAAACUGCUUCUGCGUCAACUUCCUCGUUCACGAGGUGAUAGUAGGGGCUACUUAGGUCGCAGGUUCGAGUCCUGCUAGGCCCG